Long non-coding RNA from Dioscorea cayenensis subsp. rotundata (Guinea yam), 1612 nucleotides. RefSeq lists it as uncharacterized. The record is from RefSeq and is a predicted model, not a curated record. Lineage: Eukaryota; Viridiplantae; Streptophyta; Magnoliopsida; Dioscoreales; Dioscoreaceae. The transcript has 2 exons.
GACUGUCUCAAGCCCUCCGCCCGCCGUCUUCGGGUGAUUUUUUCCUUUGGUUUUUGAAUUCGUUUUUGGGAUCGAAGGCUUUGAAAUUUUUUUAGGGGAAAUCGAAAUUUGUUCUUAGAUCGGAGGUUUCCAAGCCUUGAUUCCAAAGAUGUCGGUCAUCAGCGAGGCCUUGAUUCUUGGAUCUUGAUCAUCAGCAAGGUAUUUGAAUCCCUAAUCUCUUUUUCUUGUUUAUUUUGAAUUUCUUUCUUUGAUGAUGACAACUAGGUCAUAGAUUGCAGAUUCCAAACCCUAAUUUCUCCCCCUUCUGGAUGUCAUUCAGGUUUCUUUCUUUCCCCUUUCUAAUCUCUGUUUUUUUUUUCCUCAUUAUUAUUUCUAAUCAAAUGCUUUUCUGUUGAAAUUUGAUCGUAGUUAUGAAAUUUAUAAACCCUAAUUUUUUGUUUUUUGAUUUAUUUGGAAUCAAGUGGCGGUGAUGUUGAUAACUACCUAUUUUCUGAUUUUAGGGUUUGAUUUCCAUAAAUCAGACCCUAUGAUUAAAGAAAAUACCAAUGGAUCCUUCUGAGCCUAGAAUUCACUUCUUCAAUCUUAGCAUCUCUGAGGUUUUCUUUUUUUAUUUCUCUAAUAUUUUGAUUUUUUUUUCAAUUAAAAGUUCUUGUUGAUGUGAUGAUCAAUUUCUCAGAAUGAAAACAUGUCGAUCCAAAGAUUCAGACUACAAUUAUCUGAUCAACAAAUUUAUAUAUUUUUUUCUUUGUUUUUUUAUAAAAGAAUAGAAUCGUGUACGAUAAGCCGAUGCUCAGGACCUUGAAGUAAAUUAAAUUUAUUUGAGGGGUGAAAAGAGCAUGGUAUGGUGCACGUAGAUAGAAAUGUAGAAGGGUUCUCAUGUCUGCUCGCUUUGAUGCCUUUGGGCUUUGAUCUUGCGGGCCUGGAUUGCACCCAUAUCUCUCACAAAACAGCAUACUAUAUAGUAAUUGUAAAUCUUGAUUAAUUUAAAGUGUAAUUUGGUAUAAGUUUUUGUUGGUCUUAGUCACAUAAUCAAGUUUGGUUGGGUUAAUAAUGCAAGAAAUAUAAUCUAUAUAGCAUGCAAAUAUUAUAACAAAGACGAGAUUAAAAAUUUAAUUUUAUUAAGCAUAAAAUAUAACAAUAAUUAAGAUAAAACAAUAAUUAAGAUAAAAGUUUGGAAAUUUCUAGCCGGGGUGGGUGUGUAUAAGCAUGGUUCUAAUAUUGAAUUAACCUCUCUUAUGUGGGAUUUCUUGUUACACCUUAAAUGUCUACUAGAUACAUUAAUUCGGGGAAGAAGAACUCUCAUCAUCUAGCAGUUGUGGAAAUAUAUCAAGCACACGCAUUUCGGUUUUCCACGUAUGCAAAAGGGGCAUAUUUAGGAGGAGAAUGUGACUAUAAAAUGUCUGUUUAGUGUUUUUGGUUAGACACAUAUAUGUAGUCUAAAAAUCUUCAAAGAUUUUUUCAAAUAUUCAAUGUGGAACUAAACAUAAGUUUUAGUGUGAAGUCAUUUGAGGAAAUUCACGGGAAUCAAAACAAAUGAUAAACAACUCAAGUUGUAGGCUUUGUAGAACUCACAUCCAACAAUCAUCCAUUAUGUCAUUAUUUUUUUCUGUUA